UACGAAGGGGGCUAGCGUUGCUCGGAAUUACUGGGCGUAAAGCGCACGUAGGCGGAUCUUUAAGUCAGGGGUGAAAUCCUGGAGCUCAACUCCAGAACUGCCUUUGAUAUUGGGGAUCUCGAGUCCGGGAGAGGUGAGUGGAACUGCGAGUGUAGAGGUGAAAUUCGUAGAUAUUCGCAAGAACACCAGUGGCGAAGGCGGCUCACUGGCCCGGUACUGACGCUGAGGUGCGAAAGCGUGGGGAGCAAACAGG
This 253-nucleotide ribosomal RNA is filed under the name uncultured bacterium. RNAcentral describes it as "partial 16S ribosomal RNA". It matches the Rfam family "Bacterial small subunit ribosomal RNA", at positions 524 to 776 of the family's 1533-position model. The record is from RNAcentral.